This is a long non-coding RNA of Equus caballus (horse), 2622 nucleotides long. Lineage: Eukaryota; Metazoa; Chordata; Mammalia; Perissodactyla; Equidae. The record is from Ensembl.
UUUAAUCUUUAUUUAAUCUUUGAUUAAGAUUCUUCAGAAGAACAAAGACUGUACUUUUGUCUUUUUGUAAACAUUGACUGCAUCUACCCCCAAAGUGACAGCCGUCGCCAUAGGGCAGAUAAAAAUGGGGCAUUUUCUUCUUGCUAUUCUUAGAUACUGUCAUUUAAAUGGAAACCAAGUUAAAAUAGAGAUAGUGAAUAGUUUAAGAGGCAGAUGUUGCCUUUCUUUGCUAUCUUUUACCCCAAAACUUCAGCUGUGAUCCUAAGACUGACUGGCAAUAUUGUCUACUGUCUUUUAUCAUGCUCCAAAAAGCAGUUGAUUAUCUUGGAAGGGCUUCAAAAGCAAUUAAGAAAAUCCCUUAUGUCAAGUUACAUUUCAGACAGGACAAAUUAGAUGUAUGGGGAAAUGUCCUGAUAAAGUACUCAAGAAAUAAUGAAUCUGUGUACAAUUUGUAAUUGCUCCUGCAAAGAAUUUACAACAUAAAAGAGGUUGUUAACCUGAGACUGGAAGCUCAGAGACGUUUUUUCUUUUCAUUACAAAUGCAAAUGCCUUAUGAAACUGAGCCCAGAGCAUUUUUAAAUGUCCAAAAUGUAAUUCAAAACAUUGUUUAUUACAUUUCUGUCUGGGCUCUUCACUGCAUCACAAGCUGCUUUGUAAAUGCUGAUUUUUAAGCCAGCAGGUCUGCAAUGAAAAAAUGACCCAUUUGGCUCACUAAUGUGGAGCAGAUCCUAAAGGGUGGAUCUGUGCCAGAAGGAAGGGUAAGGGUUAUCACCGAUGCCGCAAACGGGUGGUGAUGGAUGGUGAUUGAAAAGACAUUUCGUUGUUAAAUGUCCAUGAGAUUGCUGCAUUUGGUGUCCACUUUAUACAUUAAAGAUGGACAGAUGGGAUCUUCAAUCUGCAUGACCCCAUCCUUGUGACAACAGAACAGCGCAGGCUCUGUGGAGUCCAUGGAUGGCUGAUAAUUAGUCUGUGGGGACAGGCGUUGGUGGGUUGAAUGUUGGAGGCUGGAGAGUCUCAGUCACGAAUAGGCAUCAUCUAGAUAGAAUACUGUUAUCACAAUGUUGGGAAAUUCAAAUGCAAUUUCCUUUCCUUAUGAACUCUAUUCCCCUUUGAGUAAAAUGAUCUCAACUCUUCCAAACUACUUGAAUUUUAUCCUCAAUUUCCUAACUUUUGAAGUAUGGGUGUGUCCACUGCUAAUUCUUCCCCCGUGAUAAACAUUAGCAAGGGGGAAAUUAUUCUAGGGUUAUCAUACAAUAUUUAUAGACCACUUUUUAUUUGGGAAGUGUUUGAAGGUGUCUUAAAUACGAGCUGUUUCCAAAUAACCUCAGGCUCAUUUUUCAUCUUGAUCCAAAUCCCAUGGAAGCAAACCAAUCAUGAAGCUCUCUCAAAAGUCAUUGGGAGCCCCGGGCUCAGAACCCAGCUGUGGAGCGUGAACUAUUAGGUUCUGUGCUGCUGGAAGCUUGCAGUAACUGACCCACUGGGACUGGCGCUCAUUUAAGAAUCAAAGUUGAUGCUUUGUUUCCAGAAGCCUUUGCCCGAGCUGGGGAAAGUAGACUAAAUCCCUCAUAGGAGUUCAAACUGUAUAGACCUUACUUUUUACACGAUUGCUUUUGAAAUGGUUCAACAAAGUGAUGUCUCUUCUGUUUAAAGAACAGGAAACAACAACAACAACAAAGCCAGUGAAAAACAAAUGUCAGGGUAUUCCUAUCCACAGGAUGACUCUGAUUUCCAAGUUUGUCUUCAUUAACGUUCUAGUCCACUUUCAUCGGUCCCCAUCCUCUCCUGGUGAGCUUUUUCCCACUCCCAUUCCCAAAUACCAUCACAGAGACAUACAUUGAAACCUCCCCGUUAUUUCUCUUACCUUGAUCUGCCUUGCUCUGACUUACAACUUGAUCGUAUUCCUUUCUCUCUCUCAUCAAAGUAUGUUUGUCCUGAUUCUCUCCAGAGUCAGCAUUUGACAUAGUAAUAAUAAUGUUACUAAGUACAUGUCUAGAUGCUCUACUUGUAUAAAUCCAUUUAUGCUCAAAACAACCCUCAGGUAGUUGCUAUUCUUGUGCUUGUUUACAGAUGGAGGAAUGGGAGGCACAGUGUUGAUAAGCGUGUUGUUUACGUCUCACAGCUGGCAAGUGGUGGAGUCAGGAUUCAGGCUCAGAACUUUGAUAUUUCACUUUACACGUGCUCGUUGAUGUGAUCUUCAGGAAAUGUUUGGAAUGAAGAAAUGAAGGGGAGCAGCACCCACCUGCAUCUGGGUCAAGAAAGAUAAAGACUGAGGAACUGUCCCAGAUUGGAGGAGCCUAAGGAGACAUGAAGCAUAAAUGCAAUGUGGGAUCCUGGACCAGAAAAAAAGACAAUUGGCAAAAUUUGAAUCAAGUCUGUAGAUUAAGCCCCAUGGCGGAGUGAUUAAGUUCACUCGCUGCGCUUCACCGGUUUGGAUCCUGGGUGGGGACCUACACACCGCUCAUCAAGCCAUGCUGUGGCAAUGUCCAACGUAGAACUAGAGUGACCUACAACUGGGAUGCACAACUAUGUGCUGGGGCUUUGGGGAGAAAAAAAAAAAAGGAAGAUUGGCAAUAGAUGUUAGCUCAGGGCCAAUCAUCCUCACCAAAAAAAAGCAUACUUCAG